Molecule: non-coding RNA, 41 nt
Organism: Fulvivirga imtechensis AK7
Lineage: Bacteria; Pseudomonadati; Bacteroidota; Cytophagia; Cytophagales; Fulvivirgaceae
Source: Rfam
CAGGCGUUUCCCGAAAAGCCUGUAUACAAACAGAGUAGGGA